This is a long non-coding RNA of Phyllostomus discolor (pale spear-nosed bat), 1655 nucleotides long. RefSeq lists it as uncharacterized. The record is from RefSeq and is a predicted model, not a curated record. The transcript has 2 exons. NCBI's taxonomy places the organism in Eukaryota, Metazoa, Chordata, Mammalia, Chiroptera, Phyllostomidae.
UGGACAACAGGGAGUACAGUGACCAAGAGCUACAUCGUGUCAUGAAGAACUUUUAACAAGCGGCUGCUGACUUCUAAGGGCACACUCAAAAUCCAGACGGCCCUGGGACCUUUGUUGCAAGCCACCACAGUUACUACUGGGGAGAAAAGACUACCAGAUUGAGAUUUUAAAGGGCAGGUAUCGGACCCAAUGACAAAAGCAAGCUGUGUUUGCCACAGCCAAUACUGGAGGCUGAAGGAAGUGACAGUACCGGAAGUACAAGGGACGGCCGGGGAAGUUCGGUAAAUAUCGACCCUAAUCCGUUUUCUCCUAUUUCUGAGAAAAAUAGACGGCAAAGACGUCGGAGUGGAAAGUUUUGAACGCUCCUGUGCAGAAACCUUUCUAAGCACGGCAGCAGGUCUAAGGCUGCCGCCCUUAGAAAGUCCGGCUUACCAAGUUGGACCUUGGCUGGCAUCUGGGGACUUGAAUUUCAGGAUGCCCCACCCCGAGCUUAAACUGUUUGUACAAACAAUGCAGUUCAUGCUGAGCACCUGCUCUCCUCCUGGAGUCUGGAAUCUGGGUCUGUGCUGGGUGGAGGUGCCUGCAUGACCAGCCCCCAGUGAGACCUCUGGGCACUAGGUCUCCAUGAACUUCUCUAGGAGACAUUUCACACCUGUAACAACUUAUUGCUGGGGGAUUGAGCGUGUCCUGUGUGUCUCUAUUGGGAGAAGACUCUGGAAGCUUGUACCUGGUUUUCCUGGACCUGCCCCAGGGGCCUUUUCCCUUUUCUGAUUUUCUCUGUAGCUUAUUGCUGUAACAGAUAGUAGUCCUGAGUAUGACUAUAUACUGAGCCCCAGAAGUCCUCCUACCAAAUCACUGAACCCAUGGGUAGGCUUGGGGACCCCAACACAGCUCCCAAAGGCCCUUCCCUCUACCCCUGGCUGACCCUUGUGUCUAAAAGCAGCUCACUGACACUUUGUUCCUCCCCACAGAAAUGCUGCCUGCCCCACUGUGACCCAUCGAGGAUCCCGAGUUCAGGCUCCCCAAAGACCAGCAGGCAGUACAUGGUGCCAUUGGUGGUCCCUUUCAACAUGAGGUGAGUGUCCCCACAUAGCUUCCCACACCAGUUGUGACAGACAGACCCAACACCCGGAGUCCACAGAGAGUGGUUUAUCGCCGGCAUUGGUUCAGACAUGGACCCAGUGAGCAAGUGACUGCUCCAGGCCUCGCUUUCUCACCAUUCAGUACUAAUCUCCCUGCCCUCUCAGAGCGCUCAGUCAGCAUCUGCCUCGAGAUCUUGGUCAUUGGUAGUAGCAGAGUGAGCUCGGAGAGGGGCCCUGUAUAUCCUUUCACCCUUUCCAGCAGCCAUGGUCGUUCCUGCCUCAGGGCCUUUGCAUAAGCUGUUCCCUCUGCCCAGAACACUCUUCUUCUGCUCUCACAUGGCUGGCUCUUCUUCACCUUUGGGGUCUUGGAUUAAAUCUCAGCCCCUCAGAGAGCUCCUCCUGGCCCCCUAUCUAGCCCAUGCAUCAUUCCCCUUCACCGUGCUCUUACCUUGUCCUUCACCCCACUUUUGAAUUACCCGAUCUUACCAGUUCUAAGCCUCAUAGUUUUUCACGCUUCAGCAUAAUUUGAAAUCAGAAAUACCUGACAAUAAAAGACACCUUUGUUCAGUGAAA